This 504-nucleotide ribosomal RNA is filed under the name uncultured bacterium. RNAcentral's name for it is "bacterial SSU rRNA". It matches the Rfam family "Bacterial small subunit ribosomal RNA", at positions 28 to 518 of the family's 1533-position model. The record is from RNAcentral.
GAUGAACGCUAGCUACAGGCUUAACACAUGCAAGUCGAGGGGAAACGAUAUUGGAAGCUUGCUUCCGAUAGGCGUCGACCGGCGCACGGGUGAGUAACGCGUAUCCAACCUGCCCACCACUUGGGGAUAACCUUGCGAAAGUAAGACUAAUACCCAAUGAUAUCUCUAGAAGACAUCUGAAAGAGAUUAAAGAUUUAUCGGUGAUGGAUGGGGAUGCGUCUGAUUAGCUUGUUGGCGGGGUAACGGCCCACCAAGGCGACGAUCAGUAGGGGUUCUGAGAGGAAGGUCCCCCACAUUGGAACUGAGACACGGUCCAAAACUCCUACGGGAGGCAGCAGUGAGGAAUAUUGGUCAAUGGACGAGAGUCUGAACCAGCCAAGUAGCGUGCAGGAUGACGGCCCUAUGGGUUGUAAACUGCUUUUAUAAGGGAAUAAAGUCAGGGACGUGUCCCUGUUUGCAUGUACCACAGGAAUAAGGACCGGCUAAUUCCGUGCCAGCAGCCGC